GCAGAAAUGAUAAUAUGAAAGAUUAAUAACUGAACCUGAGAUUAUUUUAUCCUCUCUACUGUCUGUGUUCUGCUCGGUCCAACUUCAAGCAAGAUGGCAACGACGUCUCGGAAACAUAGAGACUUUACUGGUUAGCCAAUGGGAGACAAACUGGUGACGGCACUGUCAGGGAUUGGAGAGCUGCUGGGGAGUAGGCUGGCAGAUCAGGGCUUUGACAAGGUGAACAACACACACAUACAUGAAGUUUCCUUAACUGUUCAUUCAUAAAAGUAAAUUCAAUGUGUGAACAUUGUUUGGCUGGAGUAUUCAG
RNAcentral lists this long non-coding RNA (310 nucleotides) under Xyrichtys novacula (pearly razorfish). The record is from RNAcentral. Lineage: Eukaryota; Metazoa; Chordata; Actinopteri; Labriformes; Labridae.